CAACACGUAACGAUUCGAACUGUCAUUUCAGUCGUGAUCGAUGUAGAUGCCGAAAUGGUAUCUUAACCUCACAUAUUUAUUGUUUUCUUGAUCGGUCUGGCGAUUAAGGAUAGUUUUAAUAAAACUAUUAAAAUGUCCUUUAAAAUUAGAGAGGACCAUUUGAUUGCGUUUGCAAAUUUUUUCGAAGAAUAUCCGGAUUUUGCCAGAGGGCGAUUGUCUUGCUCCAAUGCCCGCCAGGAAUUUAAAAAACUAUGGCAAGAACUGGCAAAUAUCUUAAAUUCAUUAGGGUAUGGAACAAGGACAACUGAAAAGUGGCAAAGGACAUGGUCAGAUUAUAAACUCAACUUAAAAAAGAGGGCUUCAGAAUUAAAGAAACAGCAGACUCAAACAGGAGGAGGGCCUCUUUUAACAAAUAAAGGUAUAUCUGACACUGAUAACCGAUUAUUAAAUAUUCUUGGAAAGACAUUUUUUGAAGGCUGUGGAACACAGGAAAAAGGUUUUGAAUCAUAUCACGAAAAAUUGGUUAUUCCAAAGAAGAAAACAUGUUCUGCUACAUCUACAAUUACUUCUGGAACAUUAUCAGUUAGCCCUGUACAGCAAAUAGUGUCCCAAAUUGAUUUAGAAAAUAUGCCAGAUUCAAAUUUAUUAGUUUCCUCACCCUCAACACAAAGAAAUGAAAGUCUUCAACAAGAGAAAAGAAAAGGUCCAGAUGAUGACCAUGAUUAUUUUGCCCAUAUAAAGCUACAAGAGAGAAACCCAAAUAAAAAGAAAAA
RNAcentral lists this long non-coding RNA (773 nucleotides) under Anthonomus grandis grandis. Its description in RNAcentral is "uncharacterized LOC126737186". Lineage: Eukaryota; Metazoa; Arthropoda; Insecta; Coleoptera; Curculionidae. The record is from RNAcentral.